GUUAGCUUCAACAGCACAUAUACUAAAAAAUUGGAAGGAUAUAGAGAAGAAUAACACGGCUUCCACAUAAGGAUGACAUGUGAAUUCAUGAAGCAUUCCAUACUGGC
This 107-nucleotide small nuclear RNA is filed under the name Notamacropus eugenii (tammar wallaby). Lineage: Eukaryota; Metazoa; Chordata; Mammalia; Diprotodontia; Macropodidae. The record is from RNAcentral.